CCUACGGGUGGCAGCAGUGGGGGAUAUUGCACAAUGGGGGGAACCCUGAUGCAGCGACGCCGCGUGGGUGAAGGAGUAUUUCGGUAUGUAAAGCCCUAUCGGCAGGGAAGAAAUUGGACGGUACCUGACUAAGAAGCCCCGGCUAACUACGUGCCAGCAGCCGCGGUAAUACGUAUGGGGCAAGCGUUAUCCGGAUUCACUGGGUGUAAAGGGAGCGUAGACGGCCAUGCAAGCCAGGGGUGAAAGCCCGGGGCCCAACCCCGGGACUGCCCUUGGAACUGCAUGGCUGGAGUGCGGGAGGGGCAGGCGGAAUUCCGGGUGUAGCGGUGAAAUGCGUAGAUAUCAGGAGGAACACCGGCGGCGAAGGCGGCCUGCUGGACCGCGACUGACGUUGAGGCUCGAAAGCGUGGGGAGCGAACAGGAUUAGAUACCCUAGUAGUC
This 441-nucleotide ribosomal RNA is filed under the name uncultured bacterium. Its description in RNAcentral is "partial 16S ribosomal RNA". It matches the Rfam family "Bacterial small subunit ribosomal RNA", at positions 338 to 795 of the family's 1533-position model. The record is from RNAcentral.